UACGUAGGGGACAAGCGUUAUCCGGAUUUACUGGGUGUAAAGGGAGCGUAGACGGCUGUGCAAGUCUGAAGUGAAAGGCAUGGGCUCAACCUGUGGACUGCUUUGGAAACUGUGCAGCUAGAGUGUCGGAGAGGUAAGUGGAAUUCCUAGUGUAGCGGUGAAAUGCGUAGAUAUUAGGAGGAACACCAGUGGCGAAGGCGGCUUACUGGACGAUGACUGACGUUGAGGCUCGAAAGCGUGGGGAGCAAACAGG
This 253-nucleotide ribosomal RNA is filed under the name Dorea formicigenerans. Its description in RNAcentral is "partial 16S ribosomal RNA". It matches the Rfam family "Bacterial small subunit ribosomal RNA", at positions 524 to 776 of the family's 1533-position model. Lineage: Bacteria; Bacillati; Bacillota; Clostridia; Lachnospirales; Lachnospiraceae. The record is from RNAcentral.